UACGUAGGGAGCGAGCGUUAAUCGGAAUUACUGGGCGUAAAGCGUGCGCAGGCGGUUUGGUAAGACAGAUGUGAAAUUCCCGGGCUUAACCUGGGAACUGCAUUUGUGACUGCCAGGCUAGAGUGCGGCAGAGGGGAGUGGAAUUCCGCGUGUAGCAGUGAAAUGCGUAGAUAUGCGGAGGAACACCGAUGGCGAAGGCAACUCCCUGGGCCUGCACUGACGAUCAUGCACGAAAGAGUGGGGAGCAAACAGG
Molecule: ribosomal RNA, 253 nt
Filed under: uncultured bacterium
Lineage: Bacteria
Description: partial 16S ribosomal RNA
Rfam family: Bacterial small subunit ribosomal RNA
Source: RNAcentral